CGCAGCAGUAGCACACAGCAGAAUGAUGUUCGACAUGGCUGCUGUGUUUGAACCCAGGAGAAGCAAAAUCAGUGGGAUGCGGUUAUGUUUCAGGGUAUGUAUGUAUUACUACUUUAUUUGCAGUUAUCUAAUCUUAUUUAGACAUAGUUGGCAUUUU
Molecule: long non-coding RNA, 157 nt
Organism: Thalassophryne amazonica
Lineage: Eukaryota; Metazoa; Chordata; Actinopteri; Batrachoidiformes; Batrachoididae
Exons: 3
Source: RefSeq, a predicted model, not a curated record